RNAcentral lists this ribosomal RNA (371 nucleotides) under uncultured Glomeromycotina. RNAcentral's name for it is "LSU rRNA". Lineage: Eukaryota; Fungi; Glomeromycota. The record is from RNAcentral.
UUGAAAGGGAAACGAUUGAAGUCAGUCGUACCGACGAGAAAUCAGCUUAUCGUGCGUUAACUUGUGGGCGUGCGCGAGUUUCGGCCUCGCUGUUUGCAUGUUUGUGCGCUUUGGGUGUACUUUUUCGUAUGGUUGGCCAACAUCAGUUUCGAUUACUAUAAAAUGACUGGCGGAAUGUAGCUUCGAUUUCGGUUGAAGUGUUAUAGCCUCUGGUAGAUGUGGUGAUUAAGACUGAGGAUUACAACGAAUAUCCUUUGGGCUAUCCGUCUGGCCUCUGAAAGUUGCUUGGGUGCUGAAAGCUUGCUUAUGGUUAUCUAAGUUAACGGUCAAUAGGUUAGAACGUGAUUACAUUCGUUAAGGAUGUUGACGUA